GGGACAAGAACCUUGGGCUGUAGAUCCUGUGCUAUGGAGACCCAAGAAAUGCGCCCAUCACAGUGCACCUGAAAGAAAUGAGCCAUUAAGAGAACCAAUUCAUGUAAUUUUUGAAGCAGCUUCACAGAACAACAUUCACAAAAAUGUGAAUAUGCGUUUACAGAAGCUCUUUAUCUCAGACCCUAUUACAGGAAUAAACUUGGAAAGUAAUUCUAUUGUGACAGAGUCACAGAACAUCCCUGGGAACCACGAAGAACCAGGGAAAUGAGCACAGAACCUUAGAAGCUCUCUUGGUCAAGUGUCCAGUGAGAGCCUUUCUGGAGCGUUGAGAACCCAGGUUGCAGCCUGAGCAUUCUGGCAAAGAGCAGGUGUCACCAUCUUGGAGGCUGCUCCUCAGGGUUACAAGGACACCGAGAACAAGAGGGAAGGUGUUCCCUAUCAGCAUCCAAAAGUCAAAAGAGAUGUCCACCUUCUUGCUGUGUCCUCACAUUGUCUUCCUCUGUGUGAGCAUCCAUGAUGUCUCUCUGUCCAAAUUUCUUCUUUUAUAAGGACACCAGUCAGAUCAGGUUGAAAAUCAACUCAUCUAAGAAACAACUUGCCUUGAAAAAUGAAGUUUGGAAAUUACAAAAACACCAUCUUGGGAAAAAAUAAAGACUACAAUAUCCUGAUUGACACAACCAAUAUGGAAACCUCUCACAGUCUGGCAAACAAGCUUCCCUUGAACUGGCAGCAAAAAGGCAGCACCACACUGUGUAUUUAAGACUUUGAAAAGAAUUGUCAUCAUCAUACUGUUCUGCCAUUUUAUAAAAUCCAGUGAAAACCCUCAGAACCCAUGUAAGGAUGAGCAGACUCAUCCUGUAAUCCUCCUUGUGAAAGGGACUCUCCAGGUUGUGAAACACAAUCACUUAUUUUCCUUGAAUCUGGCUGCAUCCCUGAUAAAUUAUGCAGUUCCAUAUGGUCUAGAAUG
Molecule: long non-coding RNA, 967 nt
Organism: Suricata suricatta (meerkat)
Lineage: Eukaryota; Metazoa; Chordata; Mammalia; Carnivora; Herpestidae
Exons: 5
Source: RefSeq, a predicted model, not a curated record